UCCAGGCUCGCCAGGCAGGGCUGGGGGUGGCGCUGGGAGGAGCCCAGACAGAUAGGCCCUGAGCUUUGAAGAAAAAUCAAUAUUCAGCAGGGAGUUGAUUGUGUCAUAAACGUCUCGAGUUGCACUGCCACUUCCUGGCCCCUGAGUGGCCCAAGGUGAGCUCUGCUGAGGAGAGAGCUGCCCUGCCUACCCCUCCCCUGCACUGCCUGUCUGAGGUCACAGAAGGAGCAGGAGAAAGGCAGCAGGCAUCUUAGGUGGUAAAGCCACUCAGUGAGCCACAGCAGCGAGGCGAGGAUGGUGGCUCCCUCUUUCUUUCGGAGGUGCAUACAUUCAACAAAUAACUACUCAAUGCCCACCAUGCCCAGUCCUGGGGCCAGGCUCUGGUGAUGCGGCCAGGAGCCCGGCAGACAGUGUGCUGCCUGCAUGGAGUCUACAGUCCUGUGUGGAGAUCAAUGUUGAACGGGGAAAUGAAACAGAAAACUGGCCAAGUAGAGGCUGAUAAGCGUCAUCCAGCAAAGCAAUGAACAGGCAGGUGGAGGCUCGGGAGGGCUGGGCAGGGCUGCUGCAGAUGGGCAGGGCUCUGGGCACUCGGCUGGGCAGGAGCCUGGGCAGUGGGGGGACUGGCUCCCAACACAGCCACUCCCCAACCACUCUUGGCUUCUCUGCUUCCUUCCUUCUCUCCCUGCCUCCUUCCCACACCUAUGCCCAGGUGCUCCUGUAGCUCUGGCUUGCGUAGGGACACUGCCAAGUGGCCCAUCCCCUUCAUUUCGUAGUCCAGAUGCUCUGACAGUGACCCCAGGUGACCGCCCAUGCAUCGCCUGUCCUGGUGGGGGCCAUCCUGUGCCAUCAUUGGGGGGGGGGUGCAGUGUGCAUGACACGGCACAGCAUGGCUCAUAGCUGCCCAGCACCAGGGGCUGAGGGGGUGAUGGGCAUAGCAGUGAGCAUUCCAUCUGGGAUUGAGUCCUGCUUGCCUCUGUCAGGGGAUGUCCUUAGGCAAGUCCCUUAACAUGCAUGUGCCUCAGUUUUGUCACCUGUAGCCCAGUGCCUCAUGGUGCCAAGGAGGUCACAAGCAUGAAGCCCCUGGCAGGGUGUGCCGGGCACGUGUGCACAUGCCCCCUGGAGGGGAUUCAUCAUCGCGGGCGGAGCUCUGCAGUUCCAGCCUCCUGAGGGUCCUGAUGCCUCACGAGGCCAAGAGGCAAAGGGUUUUGUAACUUACAUAACCGCAGAGAAAGGCAAGGUUGCUGCUCACAAUGAUGCUUUCACAGGGCGGCUCUGGGACGGCAUCCUCACCCGACUAUAUGGAAUUCCACAUCCUUUCCGAAUCUUGGUGUUACACAAUAGUCACUGAGAUAUCAUGUACCCCAUUAACGUUGAGACUUUUAUGUAUUUACAAUUCAGCUUAAAUUUUUACCCAGAGAAGUUUUCAAAAUGUAACAUGUGUUAGUCACUGUGUGAAUUGCGAAACCAAGGAAAUAUCUCCAAAGUGCUGGCCUUGACAAUGUAAUCUGGCAAGGCUUGGGGAGGAAUAAAAAUAACACUUCUCAGCAUCGCCGUCUCUGAGGGCAGGAGUGAUCUGGAGCCCUCCCCAAGCCCACAGAAGACAUGGCUGUGGAGUGUCGGUGCACCAGGGUCUGCCGGGUCCCCGCCUCCCCAUCCUUCCAAGAGGCACCAGCUGCAAGGCACGUGCAUGUGCCCUCCUGACCCCCCGGUCCCCAAAGAGCCUGCUCCCGUCACUCCAGGCAGGCACUGUUGCUGGGAUUUCAAGGCAGCUGAGUGCAGAGCCCACUGCAGAGGCAUCAGCCCCUCCCAGGCCUCUAGGAAACCUGCUCCUCCCCUCCCUCCACAGGCAUCUGCUUACAGCGCCAGCGGUGCCUCGUGCUCCACCUGGAGCACCACUGUCUGUCAGGGACACGGGCUCCCAGAGGGCUGCACGUGAAUGAUUUCCGACCCUCACAACAGCCAGGAAGUAGGGACUGGGAUUGUUCCCAUUCUGUAGAUGAGAAGACUGAGGCUUGGGAUAACGUGCUUGCCCAAGUUGGCAUGGGCAGUACAAGACAAAGCUGGGGUUGCAAAUGAUCACGCUUCCUAUUCUGAAUAUUUCUUUUUCUGCCACCUUCUCCUCUGAGUGCUGGCUUUCCCUACUUACCAAGCCCCCAGCUGCUCACUGCGGUGCCAGAGCACCCAAGAGCCUCCUCUGGCAGUGCCAUGGCCCACAGCACACUCCCCUUGGCUCUAUCAGGCCUCCCUUUUGGCUUGAGUGCCACCCACUCACUCCUCUCCUGCUUUCUGGCAUCGUUAUUUAAUUGUCCAACCCUGGUCUGCUCAGUUAGACCGUAAACUCUGAGAGGACGAGGAGUCUUCGCCGGCUGCCCCCCGGGCCUGGCCUGGGGCUGCCACGUAGCUGAAUCUCAGCCACACUUGCUGUAGAAUGAUUUGUUAUUAUUCUCUGAGGCUGGGUUUCCACGUGGCUGGGCACAGGAGGACAGAGUCCCCCUCCCCGUCCAGGUCCUUGGCUGGCCAGCAUUUCAAAUGAUAUUGUUUCAUAUUAAAUUAUUUUAAAUUCCAUGGACCCUGGUUUCACAAUCAAAUAAUUCGAUCUUGUUUACAAAUGGAAUUUUUAGUUUUUGACGGUUUCUUGCUUUGCUGGGCUGGACGGUCAGUGAAUGCGUGUCCUCCCGUGCCCUCCAGUCCAUCUCUGUUGCCUUCCCCGGGAUGCCGUGGAGGCCGGGAACCGUCCCCAGGAGUGGGGACGUGGUCAGGAGGGUGGGGUCAGGCAGCCCUGUGCAGGCAGACAGCUCACAGUGCUCGGGGCCUGGAGGCGGGGGCGUUCUCUGCUUGCCCUCUUCCAGCUCUAGACAUGAGAAAACCCACAAAGAACAGAAUUGGAAGGGAUCUUUGACACACGUGAUUCCAACAUCCCCUUUUACAGUUAGGAAACUGAGGCACAAGAUCCUGGUUCUUGGGGUUGGGCCUUGGACCCAGCACUGGGUCUUUGCACAGCCUCCUCAGGACUGAUCCACACUUUGUUCUCUUCCCCACCAACCCCAUCACUUCCCGUUAGGUGCCACUUACUGCUUUCACCUACCGAGACAGAGAGAGGGAAAAGUGUGACCUCUGACCUCUAGGAGCUAGGAACCCAGUGUUGGGAGGGGAGCUGCGGAGGAGGAGACAAAGGAGGCACAAUGAGGUGGACCCUACGGGGUUGGGAGGAGCUUGGAAGGCAGUUCAGAAAGGACACGUAGGAGAAGGCAGGGUGGGACUGUGGGACAGCAGGCCGGGCGCAUCCAGCGGCGUUUGCAAAGCCGGAGAAGUGGCCAAGCUCAGUGGCUGUGGCCAGAUGCCAUUUGUGGCAGUUGAUGAGAAUCUUGUGACUAUUUUAACCGAUGUGUUAAACUUCACUCUCCCCCUGUCAGUCUCCUUGUCACCUUGGAGAAUGUUAUUAGUCAAGGUUCUCCAGAGAAACAGAACCAACAGAAUGUACACACAUGCACACACAUACACAUGCACACACACACACAUACACACGCACACACACACACACACAAACAGGGAUUUAUUGUAAAGAACUGGCUCCUGGAAUAACUGAAUUGAUAAGUCCCAAGAUUUUCAGUCAGCAAGCUGGAGACCCAGAAGAGGCUACUAGGGACUAGACAUGUCCCCCCAAAAUUCAUAUGGUGGACCCCAACCUCCAAUGUGAUGGUCUUAGGAGGUGGGGUGUUUUGAAGGUGAUUAGGUCAGGAGGGUGGAGCGCUAAUGAACGAAAUUAGUGCCCUUAUAAGAAGAGACAGGGCAGCUCUCUCUCUCUGAUCUCUGUCACAUUAGGACGUAGAGAGAGGAAGGCCAGCAGUAAGUGGGCCCUCACCAAAAUCAAAUUGGCAGCACCGUGGUGCUGGACUUCCAGCCUCCUGAAUGGUGGGAAAUGAAUAUUUGAUGCUUAAGCCACACAGUCUACAGCAGCCCGAGCUUAGACAGAGCGGACGUUUCAGUUCAAGUCCAAAGGCAGGAAAAAGCUAGACAUUCAGCUCAAAGGCUGGCAGGCAAGAGGAAUUCUAUCUUACUCAGGGGACGGGACCCCCUUUGUCCUAUUCAGGCUGUCAACUGAUUGGAUGAGGCCCACCCAUAUUAGGGAGGGGAAACUGCUUUACCUGGCCCACUGAUUCCAAUGUGAGUCUCAUCCCCAAGCCCCUCACAGAAACACCCAGAGUGAUGUCUGGUCAAAUAUCUGGGCGCUGUGGCCCCGCCAAGUUGACACUGAAAUUAACCCUCGCAGAGGCCGCCUCUUUAUCACGGGACACAUGCUUGGAGCCCCUCUUCUGGAACUUUCUCUAAGCGAGUGACAGUAUGGGGCAGAUGGGUGUCAUUGCUCUGUGGUCACUUGAUGGGUGACCUGGGUUGGCCCUGUGUACCUACCCACUGGGCUUGGCUCAGAAUGGCAUCCUGCUGUUUCCACAAGUCAGCUGGCUCUCCAGGGUCAGGAUGGAACCUGCUGAGGAGAUCACAGAUGGCCCUGACUCCACACGCUGCCCCAGAGGGCCCCAAGGCAGGCAUCUGAGCCAGCCCCGGCUGCAGAGGUUGACUCAGGAAAGCACCAGGGAAAGUUGGUUGUUAAUAUCCCAGUCCAAUUUUUUUUGACUGGGCCUAAAGGCAGGGACUUCCUUCUAUAAAAUCUGGGAGCUGAGUGCAGGGCAGGCCUGACAAGGCGUGAGGAGCUGCCUGUGGACUUCGGCUCUCCCAGUGAGUCCAGGAGCUGCCCUGGGCCCUGGCGGCCCCUCCUCAUCCCCACCUCUCUGCUGCACCACUAUGGCCUCAAGGUCCCUGCACUGCCUCAUAAAGCUGUCCCCAAGUCAGGCUCCUGUGAGCGCGCCGGGCAUCAGAACUCUGGCUGGUGGACCCACAGAGGCCCGGGGUAAUAGCCAUGAGAAGAACAGGCCACCACGCUCAGACUGGGAAGCACCCAGCCUGCGGGAUGGCCAGAGACACUCAUCCAGGGCCAUGAGAGUGUGAAUCAGUCGAGUACAAUAUGCAUAACCAGUGUGGCCAGAACCGGUGCUUUGAGGUGUCUAACUCCUGGUGUCCUACCAUCCCAACACUGUUGAUUAAUGGCGAAAGAUGGGGCAUUGGGGAGGUCUGUGUCUAUGCUUGGUGGCACCUAAGAAAGAGCAAGGCAUUUAUCUGCAUGGAUUGAGAUAGACAGGUCUCUAAAAUAAACAAGGCAAAGAACGCAAGAGGCUGAACCAAAGUAUGAUCCAUUUGGGGCUUAACAAAUAGAUAGUAUAGGCAGCGCGGUGGCUCACGCCUGUAAUCCCAGCACCUUGGGAGGCUGAGGUGGGCAGAUCACCUGAGGUUGGGAGUUCCAGACCAGCCUGAGCAAUAUGGUGAAACCCUGUCUUUACUAAAAAUACAAAAAUUAGCUGGGCAUGGUGGUGCACGCCUGUAAUCCCAGCUACUCAGGAGGCUGAGGCGGGAGAAUCGCUUGAACCCGGGAGGUGGAGGUUGCAGUGAGCUGAGAUCAUGCCACUGCACUCCAGCCUGGGUGACAGAGGGAGACCCUGUCUCAAAAAAAAAAAAAAAAAAUAGAUGGGGUAGAUGCUUUUGGAAGAAUAUGCAGUCACUGCUCACACCAGCAUGGAACAAGUGGACUGGGGUUACUGCCUGGCGAGUCUCUUUCAGGUCCCUGAAUGCAGUUAACUCAGCGAGUCCUGAGUUCCCCAGGAGGUGGGCAUUCCCAUCUUACCCACGUUGCAGAUGAAGACACUGAGGUAUUGGGAGAACCUGCCCAGGUGAUACAGGUAGUAUGUGGCGGUUGGGGGAUGUGAACUUGAGCUCCUGACCAACUCUGCUGCAUGGGCUGACAACUCCGGCUUCUCCGGGAGAGGGGCAGGGGCUGAGGUGGGGCUUUUUUGUUUUUGUUUUUGGCCUUUCUGAGUCCUCUGUGCUUUCUUCCCAGGUGCAUAGAUGACUUACUUUCAGAAAAUGUCAACAGGGUGCUCUGCAGAGGGGCAUGGGCUUUUAUGCCUUUAUUAUGCUUUUCUGUAUUAAAAGAAAAAUACAGUCAUGUGAUUUUAGAAACUCAACCCAUGGAAGAGAGAAUACUGGGUCUGUAGGAAAUCUGCAAAGUGGGAAAGAUACUUCUGGGCUUGGUGGUGGCACCUUGGAGCCUGCUUACGGAAAUCACCUCUCGUUCCCGUGAUGCUGAAAGCAGAAUGCUGGACAUGGAAGAACCGCGGUACUCGAGCUUCGUCUGCUGCCCCACACCCCACUGGCUGUUGCAAGAGUGACGUUGCCAUUGGUGACUGCAGGUCUCCCAGCAGCCUGGUGCAGAGAGGCCACUUCAGGCUCGAACAGAGGCCCGGGUUUCCACGGGAGACAGCAGAGCCACGGUGUAGCAGGCAUCCAGCUCUCCCCCGAUCAGUUCCGUGACUUGUCGGAAGGCCCUCCCUCCCGGUCAGACGAAGAAAGGACUGGUGGCCUCUGGGGAUCCUGAGCCUGUCUCCAUGGGAACCAGCUCACCCACCCCCUCUCUGGCAAGUGUCCUAGUGGGAGCCAUGGGAAACCAUGGGCUCCAGCCCCUGGCCGCUGACUGGUUGGCGGCCUUCCGUUUUGAGAUCCCUGGCCCAGGGUAAUGGAGGGGACCUCAUCUUACAGAAGACACAGCGAGGGUGUGGAGAGGCUGUGGGGGAAGCACAGCCUGGCCGGCAGCUGCUGGGUGUCCUGGCUUGAGCUCAGGGCACCUUUGUCCCAGGGUGGGACCCUCAGGUCUCAGGGGCUGCUCCAUCCCCGUUGAGGGCUCCCUUCAUUCUUGAUGUCUGUCCACUCACAGAGGGGGCGUCAUGCCUCUCCAAAGACCCCCACAUUCCAGUCCUUGUGUCCCUGAGGUCGGCCUCCUGGCGGCCACCUCACAGGGAAGGCCCUGGACACAGGGCCCUGGCCUAAUGCAGCAUGGCUUCAUCUUAACUAGUUACGUGUGCAAAGACCCUGUCUCCAAACAAGGUCAUAUUUUGGGCUUCUGAGUGGAAGUUGGUUUGGGGGACACUCAUCAACCCAGCACAAUGCUCCCCCUCACCAUGUUCGUUGAAGAGAAGACUCUUGGACACCUGGAGGCCACCAGUCCUUUCUGGAUCCCCAGAGGCCACCAGUACUUUCUUCCUCUGACCUGAAACAAGAGCUAGCAGGGGCUGGCAGGCCGACUGCGUCUGCUGCCAUUUUGAGUACUGGCCCCAGCCGCAAUGCCCAGGACUGAGUCAUGGAGAUUCCCUCAGAAAUGGUGCAACCCAGUCUGUCCACAGAGUGAGGGGCGACAAGCCUGGUGGCCCCGGCUUCAGUGCAGGCCAUCCUUUCCACCUAUUGUCUCCUUUUGGUCUCAUGGGGACCCGGUUCUUGUCCUCUGCCCUGUAGCAUGGCUACGACCCUCAUGGGCCACAAACUUGAUGCCCUCAGGCGGCUAGACUCUACCCCAGAUCCGGGGCUGGCAGCGGCAUGGAUGUGGUCAACUGGCAUGCAGUUGUUACCCAGACACCCUCCCAUCAGCACUUUUUUAGGGGGUGAGUGACAGAAACUCAACUUGGGCUUAAAGGUGAAUUUACUGGUUCCUGUGAUGACAGAGUUCAAGGUUCAGCUGGACCUGGUGCCUCCAAUGACGUCACCAAGUCUGUCUGUCCAUCUGUCUGAGUUCAGCUUCCUCCAGGUCUUCGUUCUCCAGCAGGCCUUCUCCUCAAAGUGGCCAGGUGACUGUCAGCUCUAUGGUUCAUUCUACCAGUUUAUGAAUCUCCCCUCCUCAUGUUGCUCAAAUUCAGCUGUGAGUAAACUCCCAAGCUGAUUGCAGCGUCCAAAGGGAGGGCACUGGUCCCAUGUGCAGCCGGCAACUCUAUGGGUUCAGCUCCACCCAAACUAUAUAGACCACAGCAGGGAAGGAAAGCCAGGGAUGCUAGGAUGGCCAGCACCACUGCAGAAGCCUAUUGAUCCCGUGCAAAAUAGCUCCAGUAAAAGGAGGGCUUUGGGGCCCGGUGUGUUGGCACACACCUGUAAUCCCAGCACUUUGGGAGGCCAAGGCAUGUGGAUCACUUGAGGUCAAAAGUUCUUGACCAGCCUGAUUAACAUGGUGAAACUCCGUCUCUAUUAAAUACAAAAAAAUUAGCCAGGAGUGGUGGUGCAUGACUGUUAUCUGAGCUACUUGGGAGGCUGAGACAGGGGAAUUGCUUGUACCCGGAGGCGGAGGUUGCAGUGAGCUGAGAUCACACCAUUGUACUCCAGCAUGGGCAACAAGAGCAAAACUCUGUCUCAAAAAAAAAAAAAAAAAGGAGAGCUUUGGUCUACAGAAAGUCAGGCACCAUCACAGCAUCAUAGGGACAGGGAUACAGGAUGCAGGUCCCCGUUACAUCCAGGGCUCCAUCCCUCUUCUCUCCAUCCUCCCCAUAGGCUUUUCCUACAGGCCUUUGGUUUUCCCCGGAUGUUGGCUUGCCCCUAUACCAGCACUGCCAUGGAUGUUGGCUUGCCCCUAUACCAGCACUGCCACGGAUGUUGGCUUGCCCCUAUACCAGCACUGCUCUGGAUGUAGGCUUGUCCCUACAAGAUCACUGGCCCGACUUGUCACUCCAGGGACAAUGUGUCCACCCUUGGCCUAGCUAGUCAGAAACUUUUGUCUUCGUGUCAUCGUGUCCAAUCAAGAUGUCCAAGAUCCUUCUCUCUUUAGAGAGCAUGGGGAGGAGGGGCAUUGUGCUGGGUUGAUGACUGUCCCCCAAAUCCACUUCCACUCAGAAGCUCAAAAUAUGACCUUAUUUGGAGACAGGGUCUUUGCAGAUGUAAUUAGUUAAGAUGAAGUCACGCUGCAUUAGGGUGGGCCCUAGACCCAAGGCCUAGACCCAAGGACUGGCGAUCUUAUAAAAAGAGGAGUGGACACAGAGACAGAUGCAGAGGGAGGGCAGCCACGGAAAGACAAAGGCAGAGAGUGGAUGAUGCAGCCGCAAGCCAUCGGAUGUCCAGGGCCACCAGGAGCUGAGGAGGUGAGGAAGGGCACCCCCAGGAACCUUCAGAGGGAGCACGACACUGUCGACACCUUGACUUUAGACUUCUGGGCUCCAGAUCAGCAAGGGAGUAGAUUUCUGCUCCUUUAAGCAUUUUAUGGGUCUCUGCUGCAGGAGCUCAAGGAAACUCAUUCAGGUAUUUAGGACGGUUGUGCUGGGUGGAGACGGACCACACACCGUCUCUGGGCUGAAGGGGCGGGCACCAGGAGCAGGUCCUCAGUCGACCGCAUCUUGGCACUUAGCUUUGGUGACUCCCCCUGGUGCUGCUGAUGUCCUACCGUGGCCUCUAGGGGACUCAGGGUCCUGCACCCCACCCCUGCUCCCUUCCUGCCCUGGCCUCGUCUCACCUCUGCAGUAGCAAGACUUUCUGCAGCCUGAAUCUAGAUUCUCUGCCGCCUCUUGGUUCUUCUCCUUCAAUGUGGGCUCACCAAGGGCCAUGAGGGUCCCCAGGACUGCAAGGGCACACAGAAAACCCACAGAUUCAUACACUGAGAUAUCGCUCUCCUCGUCGACAGGACCUCAAGCCUCCAGGCCCAGCUCAGUCUAAUUCAAUCUCUGUGUCUUUGCUCAAACUCUUGCAAGGAAAUCUGACCACCUUGGCCUGGCUGGGGGCAUCCAGCGCUAUCCCUGGGGUGUGGCCUGAAACCCUUCCUUCCUCGGUAGGACUCAGUCAACCAGGGUUAAGAAAAGGGCACAUUCCUUGGAGAAGCAUGAGGAGAUAAUGCUUCUGAGGACGCUCAUGUAUGUGAACGCUCAAUGCAGACAUAUGGAAAUUAUGUCGUCUACAUUUACCCCCAUCCCUCUAGGGUGGGUGUCAUCAGAUUCCCGUCCCAGUUUGCAGCUGGAGCCUCGGGGCUUGGAUUAAGUGCUUGCCAGUGCUGGUAGAGAAGCCUGUCACCUCCCACCACUCUCAGCACUUGUCCACUUGCCAAGGUCUCAUGGCAAGUAAGUCCUGGCCACCUUGGUCGCCUCUUAGACGAAGUGGCUUGGACUAGAUGCCCUCCUCCGAGGUGAAUCUUGAGCUGAAGCUUCGGUGUGUGCCUGGAGCAUGUGGCUGGGGUGUUCAGCAAACCCUGGGCAGGGAGGACAGGCCAGCCAGACCUCGGGCCCCCAACUGGGCAUCUGCCUCCAUAGGGCAUUCAUCCACUUUGGGGGUCUUUGUGUCCCUAAAAGAGUCUGAAUAUGAAUCCACACUCAAGCAAAACCAUUAAGGAGAUCAAAGCAGCCGCAAUGACACUGGAGGAGGCUCAUGCUCCUGGGAAACCUCAGAGUAAGACGCAUGGGGGAGGUGCUGGCUUAAGGGUCAUGACUGAGGUGAGAGGCUGAGGGCAAUGGACAGAAAGCAGCAUGCAACCAAGUUCAGGUGGCAGGGAAAACAGAGAGCAAGGAGGAAGCAAAACUGUGAGCAAAACAGGCCUUGAGGGGCCAAACAGUCAGCCACAGAUGCCAGGCUCCUGCCCGACCUGCCCCGACCCUGCCUCUCAGAGGGCACCUGCCAUCCUCUGUGCACCCCACCUGUCCUGUCCCAUCUGUGCAGGGCCCCGUCUAUCGCCCCUGAAGGGUCAGGUGCUCCUCACUGGAAGGUAGGAACUGGGCUUCACCAUCUGGACUGUGCAAGGCCUGCCUGGUCAUGAGAGCAAAGAGUUUUCUAGAAGGCUGGCUUGCACACAUAAGUGAAGAACUGCCCCCCAGAAGUAAUGCUUAGGCAAAGAAGGUGGGCAGUGGUGGUGGUCACAGAUGCUGGGGGUGAGCCAUAGGCCUGAGCCAUCCAUUGUGGGGGUCUGAAAGCCCAAGUCUGUGGCUCCCACACACAGAGAUAGACAGUUCCUAGAGAACACCAGAGUCUAGGCCCCAGGGGCUGGGCGUGCCUCAGAGGGCGCCCCAUGCCAGCUUAAAGGCAGCUGGGAAUGCAGCAAUUGAUCAGUGGGUGCUGGGCAGCUCACACCCCCGUGCGGACAGUCUUCUCCAUGGGCCGAGAAGUGUGUCACAUGCAUGCAGGUGCAUAUGCAUGGGGACAUGGGGGCCCAGGAGUCUUCCUACUGCAGAGUUCAAAGAUGCGGGCUGAAGGCAGUUUGGAGAGCGUCCCCUGCCUGUGCUUCUCUUUUAACUCCAGGACCUGAGCCUCUGCUGGGUGGCGGGUGGACGCUGCUCCCAGUCUCCCAUGCAAGGGGCCCCAGAGGGAGGAAAAUGGCAGGAUGGGACAGAGGGACCACGUGAGAGCAGCUUUGGGAUAAAGCUGCCAGAUACACAAAGCAAUAAACAAAAGGGAAAAAGGAAACGGGACUCAACACAAUUCACAAGUCACAAGGUGGUUGGCUCCAAGGAGCAGGUCCCUGGCUCAGCGGGUCCACUGGGGCUCUCUGGGCAGAGGGGCCUGGUGUUUGAGGUCCCCUCCAGAACCUUCACGCUGAGUGGCAAUGACAUUCCAUAGCCUUGAGGGGCAGGGGCGCAAGGCUCAGCACCCUGGGGCUCUGGGGUGGAGGAGGAGGAUGAUCCGGACUGGGGAGGCAGAAAUGGCCCUCCGUUCUUUUCUGUUUCUUCUCACGCCUCCAGCCCCUUGCUGCAGCCACACUGGCCUCAGUUACACUGGCUCCUUCCUGCUCCUCAUCUGUACAGGGCCAGGUCCUGAAUUAGGGGGGCCUUUGUACAUACAGGCACCAGAACAUUCUUCCAGAGCUUCACUGGAGCCUUCCUCUUCAGCAUGACCGUCCCUGGCCACCUGAUCCAGAGCUGGCGGCUCCCAGGCAUAGCCCAUCCCUGCUGCGGCUCUGCACUGCCCCAGUCCUCACCUGCAUGCAGGGGACUAUUCACAUGCUGACCGUCUGUCCAUCUCCCGUAAGAACGUCGGCUCCUUCCACGUCUGCUGGGCGUGGAGGAUCCCUCACAGCCUCCCCGACCUCAGAGCCAUGAGAGACUUGCAAAGCUUGAAACAAACUCUGAAAGGACUCUUCACAGAUAAAUUCCUCCAGGUGCAUGUUUCAAACAAUUUUAUUAUCUAACCCAAGAGUAAGUUAGCAAUCGAUUUCCUAAUCUUUAUUGAUUGGCAGUGGGCAGGCUAGUGUGAUUAAAGAUGUGAGAGAGACUUGCCAAAUAAAAUGCAUGAGCAGCCUUCAUGAGCUUAGCUCCAAUGUGCAGAGUGAUAGGGUCAGGGAAGUGUGUGUAUGUGUGCAUGAUUGUGUGAGAUCAGGGUAGUGUGUGUGUGUGUGUGUGUGUGUGACAUCAGGGCAGUGGGUGUGUGAGAGAGAUCAGGGCAGUGUGUAUGUGUAUGUGUGAGAUCAGGGCAGUGUGCGUGUGUGUGUGUGUGUGACAUCAGGGCAGUGUGUCUGUGUGCAUGAGUGUGUGAGAUCAGGGCAGUGUGUGUGCAUGAGUGUGAUAUCAGGGCAGUAUGUGUGUGUCUGUGUGUGUGUGUAUGAUAUCAGGGCAGUGUGUGUGUGUCUGUGUGUGAGGUUAGGGCAGUGUGUGUUUGUGUGCAUGAGUGUGUGAGAUCAGGACAGUAUGUGAGAGAGAGAGAUCAGGGCAAAGGGCAGUGUUUGUGUGAGAUUAGGGCAGAGUGUGUGUGUGUGUGUAUGAGAUCAGGGCAGUGUGUGUGUGUGUGCAUGAGUGUGUGAGAUCAGGGUAGUGUGUGUGUGUGACAUCAGGGCAGUGUUUGUGUGUUUGUGUGAGAUCAGGGCAGUGUGUGUGUGUGCACGAGUGUGUGAGAUCACGGAAGUGUGUGUGUCAGGUCACCACAGUGUAUGUGCGGGUAUGCGUGUGUGUGUGCACAGGGAACACACGGACAGCCAUUCCAAGUACACACUCUCCUUGGGUAAAUCUGUGAGUAAUCAUUGCUCCAGCAGUGAGAGCCCGUGAGGGUGGUGCAGGAAGACUGUGGCCUGCCUCCUGAGGGAAGCAUUAAAAAAACAGUCAAAGGAAAACGAACUCAGCUCUCCCAGGGUGGAGGACGUGGAGGUGGGCAGCCAGGGAACAAAUCUGGUUGCUGCGAGCCUGUCAGAAAGGGCCCUAGUGCCCUGCCAGGAGGAAGGACUCUGGGCCAUGAGCAUGAUGGUCUUUGAAGGCCAGGAGAGCUAGCCUACCCCAGCUCUGCCACUAACUGUGCGACUCACGGUCACAUGAUGAUACCUCCUGGGCCCCAUAUACUUUAUCUGCAAAUGGGAAGAAGCACAGCCUCUGUGUCCACAGUGCUGUUGAGGUUGGAUCGGGGCUAACUGGCAAUCAGACAUGUGUCUAUAAAUGCCGGCGAGCCAGGCAGAGCCCAGGCCUGAGAGUCCACCAGGGUGGCAGGCCUUAAUCCGCGCUGCACAGAUCUGU
RNAcentral lists this long non-coding RNA (13328 nucleotides) under Homo sapiens (human). RNAcentral describes it as "HSALNT0216143". The stretch from base 5411 to 5558 matches the Rfam family "Metazoan signal recognition particle RNA". Lineage: Eukaryota; Metazoa; Chordata; Mammalia; Primates; Hominidae. The record is from RNAcentral.